Molecule: ribosomal RNA, 279 nt
Filed under: uncultured bacterium
Lineage: Bacteria
Description: partial 16S ribosomal RNA
Rfam family: Bacterial small subunit ribosomal RNA
Source: RNAcentral
UGCCAGCCGCCGCGGUAAUACGUACCGGACAAACGUUAUUCGGAAUCACUGGGCUUAAAGAGUACGUAGGCGGUCUUGUAGGUGAGGUGUGAAAUCCCACGGCCUAACCGUGGAAUUGCACUUCAAACCCCAAGACUUGAGGGAGACAGGGGUGAGCGGAACUGAUGGUGGAGCGGUGAAAUGCGUUGAUAUCAUCAGGAACACCGGUGGCGAAGGCGGCUCACUGGGUCUCUUCUGACGCUAAGGUACGAAAGCUAGGGUAGCGAACGGGAUUAGAUA